Molecule: ribosomal RNA, 933 nt
Filed under: uncultured Bacillota bacterium
Lineage: Bacteria; Bacillati; Bacillota
Description: bacterial SSU rRNA
Rfam family: Bacterial small subunit ribosomal RNA
Source: RNAcentral
AUUUAUUGGGCGUAAAGCGAGCGCAGGCGGUUUAAUAAGUCUGAAGUUAAAGGCAGUGGCUUAACCAUUGUUCGCUUUGGAAACUGUUAAACUUGAGUGCAGAAGGGGAGAGUGGAAUUCCAUGUGUAGCGGUGAAAUGCGUAGAUAUAUGGAGGAACACCGGUGGCGAAAGCGGCUCUCUGGUCUGUAACUGACGCUGAGGCUCGAAAGCGUGGGGAGCAAACAGGAUUAGAUACCCUGGUAGUCCACGCCGUAAACGAUGAGUGCUAGGUGUUAGGCCCUUUCCGGGGCUUAGUGCCGCAGCUAACGCAUUAAGCACUCCGCCUGGGGAGUACGACCGCAAGGUUGAAACUCAAAGGAAUUGACGGGGGCCCGCACAAGCGGUGGGGCAUGUGGUUUAAUUCGAAGCAACGCGAAGAACCUUACCAGGUCUUGACAUCCCGAUGCUAUUUCUAGAGAUAGAAAGUUUCUUCGGAACAUCGGUGACAGGUGGUGCAUGGUUGUCGUCAGCUCGUGUCGUGAGAUGUUGGGUUAAGUCCCGCAACGAGCGCAACCCCUAUUGUUAGUUGCCAUCAUUUAGUUGGGCACUCUAGCGAGACUGCCGGUAAUAAACCGGAGGAAGGUGGGGAUGACGUCAAAUCAUCAUGCCCCUUAUGACCAGGGCUACACACGUGCUACAAUGGCGUAAACAAAGGGAAGCGAGCCCGCGAGGGGGAGCAAAUCCCAAAAAUAACGUCUCAGUUCGGAUUGUAGUCUGCAACUCGACUACAUGAAGCUGGAAUCGCUAGUAAUCGCGAAUCAGAAUGUCGCGGUGAAUACGUUCCCGGGUCUUGUACACACCGCCCGUCACACCAUGGGAGUCAGUAACGCCCGAAGUCAGUGACCCAACCGCAAGGAGGGAGCUGCCGAAGUGGGACCGAUAACUGGGGUGAA